This 263-nucleotide ribosomal RNA is filed under the name uncultured bacterium. RNAcentral describes it as "partial 16S ribosomal RNA". It matches the Rfam family "Bacterial small subunit ribosomal RNA", at positions 793 to 1055 of the family's 1533-position model. The record is from RNAcentral.
GUCCACGCCGUAAACGAUGGGCACUAGGUGUGGCGGGUAUCGACUCCCGCUGUGCCGAAGCUAACGCAUUAAGUGCCCCGCCUGGGGAGUACGGCCGCAAGGCUAAAACUCAAAGGAAUUGACGGGGGCCCGCACAAGCAGCGGAGCAUGUGGUUUAAUUCGACGCAACGCGAAGAACCUUACCAGGGCUUGACAUGCACUGGAAAGCCGUAGAAAUACGGUCCCCCUUCGGGGCCAGUGUGCAGGUGGUGCAUGGCUGUCGU